This is a long non-coding RNA of Anguilla anguilla (European eel), 149 nucleotides long. RefSeq lists it as uncharacterized. The record is from RefSeq and is a predicted model, not a curated record. NCBI's taxonomy places the organism in Eukaryota, Metazoa, Chordata, Actinopteri, Anguilliformes, Anguillidae. The transcript has 2 exons.
CUAGCGAGUUAAGUUUCCUUUGUGUGCGUCAAUAAACGGCAAACCACACAUACACACAUGCACACCCACCUGGUUUAAACCUAAGAGGAGAACAGAGAUUGCCUGUGCCUGUGUAUUUGCAUUCCAUUUAUAAUAAACCCCCAAAAGAA